CAGGUGGAGCGGUGAAAUGUGUUGAUAUCUGGAAGAACGCCGAAAGCGAAAGCAGCUAACUACAAUAAACCUGACGGUCAGGGACGAAAGCUUGGGGAGCAAAUGGGAUUAGAUACCCCAGUAGUCCAAGCCGUAAAUUAUGUUCGCUAGGUGUCUUUGCGUAUGCAGGGGUGCCGUAACCUAACGGGAUUAAGCGAACCGCCUGGGUAGUAUAUUCGCAAGAAUGAAACUCAAAGGGAUAGGCGGGGGAACACACAAGCAGUGGAUGAUCUCGAUUAAUUGGAUACGAAGCCAGCAAUCUUACCUAGACUUGACAUGUAUUGUGUCUACGAUGAAAGUCGUAUAGCUGUAGCAAUACAGCGCUUUACACAGGUGGUGCAUGGUCGUCGUCAGCUCGUGCCGCAAGGUGUCUAGUUAAUUCUAGGAACGAGCGCAACCCUCGUCGUUAGUUAUUUGUGUCUAACGAGACUGCCUUGGCAACAGGGAGGAAGGAGAGGAUGACGUCAGAUCCUCAUGCCCCUUACGUCUAGGGCUUCAGAGGUCAUACAAUGGGUAGUACAGCGAGAAGCAAUAUCGUGAGAUGGAGCAAAUCUUUAAAGCUACCCCUAGUUCGGAUUGUAGUCUGGAAUUCGACUACAUGAAGUUGGAAUUGCUAGUAAUGGCGGAUCAGAAUGCCGCCGUGAAUAUGUCCCUGUUCCUUGCACUCACCGCCCGUCAAACCAUGGGAGUUGAGGCUCUCUGAAGAUCCGUUCGCGGGUUAAGGAGGGAAUCAAUGACUGGGGUUAAGUCGUAACAAGGUAACCAAGGG
RNAcentral lists this ribosomal RNA (808 nucleotides) under uncultured bacterium. Its description in RNAcentral is "bacterial SSU rRNA". It matches the Rfam family "Bacterial small subunit ribosomal RNA", at positions 670 to 1506 of the family's 1533-position model. The record is from RNAcentral.